This is a long non-coding RNA of Triticum dicoccoides, 532 nucleotides long. RefSeq lists it as uncharacterized. NCBI's taxonomy places the organism in Eukaryota, Viridiplantae, Streptophyta, Magnoliopsida, Poales, Poaceae. The transcript is spliced from 4 exons. The record is from RefSeq and is a predicted model, not a curated record.
CUUGCAGGUCCGUUGUUCUCCUCCUCACUUGGCCUAGAUUUGUUGUGCCGCUAGUUGAUCUGUGCUGGUCUUCGCGUUUUCAUCAGGAAACUAUAGCUUGUUUCAGUUACAACUAAGUUCUUGGGUUCCACUUUGUUGUUGGAAACUACUUACUAGUGGAGCUGCUGCUUGGUUCAUAGGAUCAUCUUGUUGUGGUCGCGUGAAAGGAUGGUGUUCGUGAUCUAUAUCAUGGAAAAUAUAUCCUGGAAUGCCUCUAGACCCAAGAACAAUUCCUUAUAACGCUCACCAUUUGUGCACUUCUUUUGGUCUUGGACAAAGGGUAUGUGGAAGACUGGAUUUGAUAUUAUCCUGGAAUGGCAACUAUUGGUGUGCAACUGAAGAAUAUAUUUCAUGACCGAGAGAUGGUAUUUGGAGAAUCUUAGUUUUGAUAUGUACAUGAAUCUUCUUUUAUUUUGUCGCGCAACUGAAGAUAUAGGACUAUUUGCUCUGUGUAUCUCGUAUAAAUAAGGAAAUGGACUAUAGGUAAAAAAAA